GGUUGAUCCUGCCAGUAGUCAUAUGCUUGUCUCAAAGAUUAAGCCAUGCAUGUCUAAGUAUAAGCAAUUUAUACAGUGAAACUGCGAAUGGCUCAUUAAAUCAGUUAUCGUUUAUUUGAUCGUUCAUUACUACAUGGAUAACCGUGGUAAUUCUAGAGCUAAUACAUGCUAAAAAUCCCGACCUCUGGAAGGGAUGUAUUUAUUAGAUAAAAAACCAAUGCCUUCGGGCUGCUUGGUGAUUCAUAAUAACUUGUCGAAUCGCAUGGCCUUGUGCUGGCGAUGGUUCAUUCAAA
Molecule: ribosomal RNA, 293 nt
Filed under: uncultured eukaryote
Lineage: Eukaryota
Description: partial 18S ribosomal RNA
Rfam family: Eukaryotic small subunit ribosomal RNA
Source: RNAcentral